UGUGUCGUACUGAACCAUAGUACUGUAGUAUAUCCUAUCCUGUCCUUAAAGGAUGUUUCACACUCUAUUAUUGUUCUAUAGUCUUUAGUGUCACAUCUCGGUUUGUGGUUUUGUUUUAUUCUGUUUAUAUUCUGCUCAGUAGUGGAGACACGGAUUAGUCGGUUGGACAGCUUGGGUGGGUGGGGGGUCUACAGAAAUAUUUUUUUGAUGGGGUUGCAAAACUAAAAGACAAACAAAGAAAAAACCCUCUGUCUUCAAAAGUUUCAUCACACCCUGAGACUCGGUUUCCUGAAGGUACUUUUCAUAGGAAACAGGAUCAGAACUUGUUCGUUUCCAGUAAGUAUCUGUGUGAAAUUCCCAGGACUGAAACUCUGAUUCGAAGUUUUGUUUAAACCUCAGGAAGGGCUGAUUUCCUUUGUCCUGAUAAAAAAAAGUCCAGAAAUACAAACCUUAUAUCACAGGGUGUUUCUUUUGUUCUCUAUCUCCUCUGGUGUUUCCAGCCUGUCUGCGGUCUUUCUUCAGUCAAACUGGUUUCAUUUGGCUUUUAACUCGUCUUGAAGCAGUAAAAUGGAGGUAUUUCAUCCCCGCAGAUUGCUUAAGUGCGUCUUUCUUCUUAACGUUGCCCCCGUUGUUUGUGCAACAGCUUUUAUUGCUGUAUAAACCCGAGUUUAACAGGCGGCUGUUUGAACAGCAGCACUGAGUCACCGCGUUUGUUCUCUGCUGGAAGUUUAACUCAUUAAAUUUGGCUUACGGGAGGUAAAAUAUCACAUCCUGACACACGCUCCGCAUCAGGAACCAACCUGGAAAUCAUUUUCACUCUUUUAGUUUCACAGCCACACAACGCCGACUUCACCGGAGUCUAAAGAAGAGUGACAGGGAUGGGUCCACUGACUCAUUCCGGCCUCUUCUAGAGUUUCAGGUGUGCCACGCCUGUCUGAGAGCGCGGAUUACCCUCACCUGAGCGUUCUGUCAUCAGCACAGGAGCUGCAGACCAACCCUCAGAUCCACAGCGAUUGUUGCUUCUGUGGCACACCUGACUCAGCUCCGUUUGGGCCCGAUUACAGUAACCCUUUGGUGGGCAAUUAAGCGAAAUGGCGUUGGAUGGGGCUUUCCCCUUCCUUUCAUGGAUUUUGUGAGUAUUAGUCAAGAAGUUGGAGCUUUUCUUUCAGGUUCAGAUCCAAACAGAGUUGUAGAAGAAUUCCCAGAGUGAUUUGCAAACGGAAACUUACAACACGUGUUUCCAAAUCAUCCUUUCGAGAACUCGCUCGCAGUAUUUCACAAACCGCUUUCAUAACCCUCUCGCUGUCAGUGUUGUGCAGCCAUUGAGGGGGGGUUGGAGUGAAAAUACAAAGUAAAAAUACAAAAGGAUUUUUCCUCCGCCCCCCCGUCCACAAACCAGAGACUUGGCGAAGUUUUCAAUUAAUAGCAGUGAUUUAUUACAGCUGACAAACAGCAGAACCAAAGCAAAUAACAACUCAUGGUGAACAAAAGCUGCUCCAUAAAACAAAACAAACAACGUCUUUGCGAAUGUCAGAGGAACGUUGGAUUGAACCUGAUGUGACUCUCCUCUCUGCAACCCACCUCCACUCCUCCUCCUCCUCCUCCUCCUUCUUAAACUGUCAUUUCUGUUUUCACUGAUACCUGCUCUCUUCUGCAACCCAGAGAUCUUUGCUGAUGGUCCCUUGAUGAAUGCAUCCAACCAUCGUCUGCCGCCUAUGGUUUUGGCGUUUACGCUUGUGGAAGGGCAGGUAGCUCUCAAGAUGAAGUCACACUCCUAAACAUGAUAAUCAUACCUUUAUUUAUACGGCAUUUGCUUUGAUGGAAAAGCAAAGCAUGCAUAACGUUCCCCUUCAAUCGGAAUCAUUGUUCGGUAUCAUCCUUUCUUUGUCCAUCCAGGUUUUUAUGCUAAUCAUCUUCUAGGUCAAAGCCAAUCCUUGAGAGACAGUUUCAGUCCGAUUGUGUAAACCAGAGAGAAAAUCGAACUGCAUUAUUUUUGCUUUCGUUGCAAACUUAAAUCAAGUUUUCGAUUUAUGAAUGCACCGACUGAUUCUGCACGUCUUCUUAGUUAACCUUUGAUUUCGAAAAGUUCUUGCAAAAGAGGAAACGAUUUUUGACUUUGCAAUAAUCGUAAGUAUGCAGAAGGUUCUGGAGGACAGAAGAAGCUUCUUCUACCGUUUUUCUGGAUAUCCUGAUGUGAAUGAAGGUCAGAGCAUCAAUGUUUACUUUGUUUUUUUUUUUUUACGUUGUCAGUGUCAUCUCAGAGUUUCCAGUGUUUUCAGUGAUAUUACAGAUGCUCACACUGAUUUCAGCUCUCUGACACUGCCGCCGUCUUCCCUGUUUUUCUUUCCUUAUGUCACUGCAGUCACAGUGUCUCUCCGCGUCUGUCUCAUCGUCCUCUCAGUUCUCUCUCUGAGCGUUUACUCUACAUACUUCUCCCAGUGUGGUUACAGUGAAGCUCUCUGUUCUUACAGAUUUAACGUUUUCUGUUGGGCGUGUCCGAGAUCUUCCAACUUAACCAGUAAACAUAUUGUUAAAGUCGACACAGUUGGCCCAGAGUCCUGAAUGGAUUUAUAAUGUGGUGAAAACACAGUCAGGCUGUGUGAGAGGGGAAGGGAGGGGGAGGGGGACACAGAAGAGAGAGAGAGAGAGAGAGAGAGAGAGAGAGAGGGAUGGGGGUGGUGGUAAUGACUUCCAGCUGCCUGAGGCCGAGCAGAGGAGGAUGUUUGAUUUCUACACAGUCAGAAACAGGCGCUGUGACCUGCUGAAUUUAACAUGUCAAAGAUGUGACUCUCCUACUUGUGUUAGAUUGUUCUUCCCCAAAUUCAAACAAAUAAUAUUGAGAUGUAGUGGUCUGUGGAUGAGGUCAGGGGGUUGUGUUGGUCUAGUGGUGAGGUCUUUGAGGUUUCAAGGGUCUGGUAAAUGGGCUAAGUGAGAUUUGGUGGUCUAGCGAGGGAGUAAGUGAGGUUUUGCAGCAAGGUUCGGUGUUUCAGUGAAGUAUAUAGUGUAUCAUUAGUGGUCAGCAAUAUCUGGUGGCCUGGCGAAUGAGGUUACUCGGGUUUGGUGAAGCAGUAAUGAGGUUCGCAGGGCUUUGAAGGCUGGUGAGGAGGUUAUUAAAGUCAAGGGAAGUGGUUCAGUGAGGUUUUGGCGGUGAAGCGUAGAGGUCAAAAAUGAUCGGUG
This 3177-nucleotide long non-coding RNA is filed under the name Xyrichtys novacula (pearly razorfish). Lineage: Eukaryota; Metazoa; Chordata; Actinopteri; Labriformes; Labridae. The record is from RNAcentral.